CAUGUCCUACGGGAGGCAGCAGUGGGGAGUAUUGCACAAUGGGGGAAACCCUGAUGCAGCGACGCCGCGUGAGCGAAGAAGUAAUUCGUUACGUAAAGCUCUCUCAGCAGGGAAGAAAAUGACGGUACCUGAGUAAGAAGCCCCGGCUAACUACGUGCCAGCAGCCGCGGUAAUACGUAGGGGGCAAGCGUUAUUCGGAUUUACUGGGUGUAAAGUGAGCGUAGACGGCGCGGCAAGUCUGAAGUGAAA
RNAcentral lists this ribosomal RNA (249 nucleotides) under uncultured bacterium. RNAcentral's name for it is "partial 16S ribosomal RNA". It matches the Rfam family "Bacterial small subunit ribosomal RNA", at positions 333 to 599 of the family's 1533-position model. The record is from RNAcentral.